UCAACUGUUAGAGCGGCAAAUACAUUGCGUUAUUCUGCCGUCUGCCUCAGCCAGUCUGUAAAUAUGAGUCGGUCUGAGAUUUUUGCUAGAUAGCUUAGUUGCUGCUGAUACAGGCUAGAAUCUUGAAGUUGCUCUUUAGAGCCAUAAUGGGGCAUCCGAGAUUGGGAUCAGAGCUCUGAAGUCUUAGUCUGGCUUCUGGAAGUAUCUCUGUGGCAUGGGAGGAAGAGGAGGCUCAAGCCGGUGUUGCGUCUCCCAAGUUGUGCAAGCUGGCACAACCUUCCGCUAGACUGCUGAUCCAUUCGGCAUCUCCCUGUUGGGAUUCUAUUCCACCUUUUGCUGCAAACAUGGGAUUGUUGCGUGUCACAUGUCUGUUUACAUUCCAGCACAGAUUGCUGGCGUAAGCAGAACUUCUGCUCUGUAUAGCUUUUGUUUUUAGCUCUCUUUCCGAGAAGACGGCA
Molecule: non-coding RNA, 458 nt
Organism: Podarcis muralis (Common wall lizard)
Lineage: Eukaryota; Metazoa; Chordata; Lepidosauria; Squamata; Lacertidae
Source: RefSeq, a predicted model, not a curated record